RNAcentral lists this ribosomal RNA (494 nucleotides) under uncultured bacterium. RNAcentral's name for it is "bacterial SSU rRNA". It matches the Rfam family "Bacterial small subunit ribosomal RNA", at positions 28 to 508 of the family's 1533-position model. The record is from RNAcentral.
GACGAACGCUGGCGGCGUGCCUAACACAUGCAAGUUGAGCGACGAACCAGGGCUUGCCCUGGGGCAAAGCAGCGAACGGGUGAGUAACACGUGGGUAACCUGCCCCGAUGACCGGGACAACCCGAGGAAACUCGGGCUAAUACCGGAUGUGCCCCCCGCACAUGAGUGCGGUUGGCAAAGGUAGCUUCGGCUUCCGCUUCGGGAGGGGCCCGCGGCCCAUUAGCUAGUUGGUGGGGUAAAGGCCUACCAAGGCGACGAUGGGUAGCUGGUCUGAGAGGACGAUCAGCCACACUGGGACUGAGACACGGCCCAGACUCCUACGGGAGGCAGCAGUGGGGAAUCUUGCGCAAUGCGCGAAAGCGUGACGCAGCAACGCCGCGUGGGGGAAGAAGGCCUUCGGGUUGUAAACCCCUUUCAGGAGGGACGAAGGUUCGGCGGUUAACAGCCGACCGGACUGACGGUACCUCCACAAGAAGCCCCGGCUAACUACGUGC